Molecule: long non-coding RNA, 326 nt
Organism: Poeciliopsis prolifica (blackstripe livebearer)
Lineage: Eukaryota; Metazoa; Chordata; Actinopteri; Cyprinodontiformes; Poeciliidae
Exons: 3
Source: RefSeq, a predicted model, not a curated record
CGAACCCAGGAGACUCUGAGGAGCUUCAGAACCAUCCAGAACCUGAGUGGGAGCGUGGCCUCGGCGCCGGUGCUGCUGCAGAGGGCGGAGCAGGUGGUGGAGCUGCUGCAGGACUUCAGAACCACGGCCCGGUCCGAAUGGAGCGCCAGGCUGGAGGAGGACUGCAGUUCCGUCCUGAACCAGAAGCUGGUCCAGAUCGACCCGCCGACCCACCUGAAGGUGGCCGGCAGGAAGCAGCUGGAGGUGGUGCUGCAGCAGCUGCGCUACGUGAGCAGAGAGGGCGGCGUGGCGCUGCGCCCCGACGCAGACCGCCUCCUGCUGGCCAG